RNAcentral lists this ribosomal RNA (503 nucleotides) under uncultured bacterium. RNAcentral's name for it is "partial 16S ribosomal RNA". It matches the Rfam family "Bacterial small subunit ribosomal RNA", at positions 30 to 523 of the family's 1533-position model. The record is from RNAcentral.
AUUGAACGCUGGCGGCAGGCUUAACACAUGCAAGUCGAGCGGGGUGAUGGUGCUUGCACUAUCACUUAGCGGCGGACGGGUGAGUAAUGCUUAGGAAUCUGCCUAUUAGUGGGGGACAACAUCUCGAAAGGGAUGCUAAUACCGCAUACGUCCUACGGGAGAAAGCAGGGGAUCACUUGUGACCUUGCGCUAAUAGAUGAGCCUAAGUCGGAUUAGCUAGUUGGUGGGGUAAAGGCCUACCAAGGCGACGAUCUGUAGCGGGUCCGAGAGGAUGAGCCGCCACACUGGGACUGAGACACGGCCCAGACUCCUACGGGAGGCAGCGGUGGGGAAUAUUGGACAAUGGGGGGAACCCUGAUCCAGCCAUGCCGCGUGUGUGAAGAAGGCCUUAUGGUUGUAAAGCACUUUAAGCGAGGAGGAGGCUCUUUUGGUUAAUACCCAAGAUGAGUGGACGUUACUCGCAGAAUAAGCACCGGCUAACUCUGUGCCAGCCGCCGCCGUAA